RNAcentral lists this transfer RNA (76 nucleotides) under Candidatus Aerophobetes bacterium Ae_b3a. Its description in RNAcentral is "tRNA-Gly". It matches the Rfam family "tRNA". Rfam says of the family: Transfer RNA (tRNA) molecules are approximately 80 nucleotides in length. RNAcentral also lists the same sequence under 1 other name. Lineage: Bacteria; Candidatus Aerophobota. The record is from RNAcentral.
GCGGGAAUAGCUCAGCCGGUAGAGCAUCAGCUUCCCAAGCUGAGGGUCGCGGGUUCAAGUCCCGUUUCCCGCUCCA